GGGCAGGCGCACUGAUGGAAGUUGUCCAUUAGAGGUCACUGAAGCUCCGCCAGUGAAGAAGUCUGAGCCCUGUCCUGCUGGGUUGGCUAUCGCUGCUUGCUUUUUUCUGCUGAGCAAAGGCCUCUUGCCCAAACUUCUCUUUCAAAAGCAGCCUCUUACAGUAUAAACUAGUGCAGGACGCUGCUGCCGUCUCCCUGCCUGUGGCACUGGUGGUCAGGCUUGAGGCCCUUUGUCUCGUCCCCUUCUCCUGACAUCAGCUGGAAGAGACGGAGAUUAAAACAAGGGAGACGUGUUACAAAGAAGAAUGCACAUCUCUGGAACGUGCCACUGCAUAUUCCCUGUACAAAAGUCCAAAAGAAGUGAGGACACGACCUGUUGUGUGGCAGAAGCACUGCGAGAUCAUAAUACGUAGCUGCUGGUGGACAGAAAGAAGGAUGAGUCAGGUGUGCAUUAUUUCCACUCGGAGAGGGCUGUCAUACGGGUGUGCCACUGCCUGCUGCUGAAGGAAAGUGUCCCAGUUUUCAAUAUGAGCACUUGGUCUGAAUAAUCGCACGUGGCUUUUAUUGAGGAGAAGUAACACUGAUCCCCGUAGGAAAGGCAGAAGUGACUAACACUGAAACAGAAGAGGGGAAAAAAGGAUACAAAUAACAGACCUUUACAGUUCCACUCCGGGGAAGGCUCUAGUUAUGAUACGAAUGAUACAUUUGUGUGUCUGUGACAGUGAAUUAAAAAUGUGAGGGAUAAGCUUGCUGUUGAAAUGAGACUGCACUGCAGUGCUGCUCAUUAGCUCCCACAUGAAGCUGGCAGUCCUCCGAACAACCUUGCUUACCCCUAAAGGGGUGAGUGGCUUCUUCACCAGUUAACACUGGAAGCAGAGGGGCCUCCCGGAACAUGUGGUGUGGAUUUGGCAGUGUGAGCAAACUGUCCUAAGGCAGGCAGCAGGUAUCGCACAUGGCCGUGUGUCUCACAGAAUCACAGGGGUUGGAAGAGACCUUGAGAGAUCAUCAAGACCAACCCCAUGGCUGAGGCAAGUUCUCUACAGUAGGUCACACAGGCAGGUGUCCAGAUGAGUCUUAAAUAUCUGCAUAGAAAGAGACUCUACAACCUCUCUGGGCAGCCUGUUCUAGUGCUCUGUCACCAUGUUUGUAUGGAACUUCCUAUAUUCAAGUUUUAGGCCGUUACUUCCUCCUCCCUCCCCUCUUCCUGGCUCCUUUUUGUCUACUGGGAAAAGUACAGGUAGGCAGAUAAUGCAAGUCAUUGGCAAGCUAUACUGAUGUUACCAGUGAAAUGAGGAAAGGUUGAGCCAGUUUUCCUCUGCAGACUGCUCUCAGUUAAUGUGCUCAUCAGCCCCAAUGGCCGGCUUUUUAGAUGCUCCUGAUCAGCUGUUUCCUUUCUUUUAGCCCACAGAAUAGUUCCUUUUCAAAGCAAACUAAAGUUGCCCUCUUAUCUUCGGGAAUCUCUCUCGGCCAUCCUGAUAAAAUGGCAAUGCUAAAGAAGUUCCAGCCAUAAAGGACUGCCCAUUUGGGGCCUAAAAACUCCUUGGGCUUCUCUGCAGCCUUUCUAUGAAUUUCUUUCAAAAACACUGUUUUUUUUUUUGCCAGGAUCAGUUCCGCAUUUACUCGUGUAUAAUUUUCUAAGCUUUGUUUUGUAUUUGUUAGCUUAGUCUUCCUGAGAACUGCUAAGCUCCAGUGCAGAGGAUAUAUCAUUCCUUAAAUUUAAAAAAUUCUGUUGAGAGCCCUCUUGUACAAAACAGCAGAGGAAAGGCUGAUCCAUGUUCUACGUCUUGCCAUUACUUGUUCUACUCAGUCACAUGUUUCUCUUCUACUGUCCUUGAUGCAGCUAUCUCUGAAUCUUUACAAAUCUCUACCAUAUUUAAUUAACACAUAAAUGAAGGAUGCUCUAGGGUUGAGGGCACGGAAAUCACUUUGUGUUGCUGUUUCCAAAUGCCACUGACCUG
Molecule: long non-coding RNA, 1957 nt
Organism: Gallus gallus (chicken)
Lineage: Eukaryota; Metazoa; Chordata; Aves; Galliformes; Phasianidae
Source: Ensembl